RNAcentral lists this ribosomal RNA (1100 nucleotides) under Ascomycota sp. DV-2018g. Its description in RNAcentral is "eukaryotic LSU rRNA". The stretch from base 155 to 1100 matches the Rfam family "Eukaryotic large subunit ribosomal RNA", at positions 1 to 964 of the family's 3401-position model. The record is from RNAcentral. Lineage: Eukaryota; Fungi; Ascomycota.
UCUUUUGCCCCCCAAUUUUUGUGGGGGGGGCGUUUUUCCCCGCUUAGGGGUGACCCGCCUAAAGGGAUGGGCAGCCGGCAUUUUUGUUUUGGAGCGCAGCACAUUUGCGCUUCUCCCCUGUAUUNCAGCGUCCAUUAAGCUUUUUAUUUUCUUUUGCCCUCGGAUCAGGUAGGGAUCCCCGCUGAACUUAAGCAUAUCUAUAAGCGGAGGAAAAGAAACCAACAGGGAUUGCCCUAGUAACGGCGAGUGAAGCGGCAACAGCUCAAAUUUGAAAUCUGGCUCUUUUAGGGUCCGAGUUGUAAUUUGCAGAGGGCGCUUUGGCGUUGGCAGCGGUCCAAGUUCCUUGGAACAGGACGUCACAGAGGGUGAGAAUCCCGUACGUGGUCGCUGGCCUUCGCCGUGUAAAGCCCCUUCGACGAGUCGAGUUGUUUGGGAAUGCAGCUCUAAAUGGGAGGUAAAUUUCUUCUAAAGCUAAAUACUGGCCAGAGACCGAUAGCGCACAAGUAGAGUGAUCGAAAGAUGAAAAGCACUUUGGAAAGAGAGUCAAAUAGCACGUGAAAUUGUUGAAAGGGAAGCGCUUGCAGCCAGACUUGCCUGUAGUUGCUCAUCCGGGCUUUUGCCCGGUGCACUCUUCUGCGGGCAGGCCAGCAUCAGUUUGGGCGGUUGGAUAAAGGUCUCUGUCAUGUACCUCUCUUCGGGGAGGCCUUAUAGGGGAGACGACAUGCAACCAGCCUGGACUGAGGUCCGCGCAUUUGCUAGGAUGCUGGCGUAAUGGCUGUAAGCGGCCCGUCUUGAAACACGGACCAAGGAGUCUAACAUCUAUGCGAGUGUUUGGGUGUCAAGCCCGAGCGCGUAAUGAAAGUGAACGGAGGUGGGACCCCAUUAGGGUGCACCAUCGACCGAUCCUGAUGUCUUCGGAUGGAUUUGAGUAAGAGCAUGGCUGUUGGGACCCGAAAGAUGGUGAACUAUGCUUGANUAGGGUGAAGCCAGAGGAAACUCUGGUGGAGGCUCGCAGCGNUUCUGACGUGCAAAUCGAUCGUCAAAUUUGGGCAUAGGGGGCGAAAGACUAAUCGAACUAUCUAGUAGCUGGUUCCUGCGAU